GACGAACGCUGGCGGCGCGCCUAACACAUGCAAGUCGAACGGAGUUGUGUUGAAAGCUUGCUGGAUAUACAACUUAGUGGCGGACGGGUGAGUAACACGUGAGUAACCUGCCUUUCAGUGGGGGACAACAGUCGGAAACGACUGCUAAUACCGCAUGACGCUUCUUGGGGGCAUCCCUGAGAAGUCAAAGCUUUAUGUGCUGAAAGAUGGAUUCGCGUCUGAUUAGCUAGUUGGUGAGGUAACGGCUCACCAAGGCGACGAUCAGUAGCCGGUCUGAGAGGAUGAACGGCCACAUUGGGACUGAGAUACGGCCCAG
This 316-nucleotide ribosomal RNA is filed under the name uncultured bacterium. RNAcentral describes it as "bacterial SSU rRNA". It matches the Rfam family "Bacterial small subunit ribosomal RNA", at positions 28 to 334 of the family's 1533-position model. The record is from RNAcentral.